Molecule: ribosomal RNA, 500 nt
Filed under: Vibrio coralliilyticus
Lineage: Bacteria; Pseudomonadati; Pseudomonadota; Gammaproteobacteria; Vibrionales; Vibrionaceae
Description: bacterial SSU rRNA
Rfam family: Bacterial small subunit ribosomal RNA
Source: RNAcentral
AGUAAUGCCUGGGAAUAUGCCUUGAUGUGGGGGAUAACUAUUGGAAACGAUAGCUAAUACCGCAUAAUGCCUACGGGCCAAAGAGGGGGAUCUUCGGACCUCUCGCGUCAAGAUUAGCCCAGGUGGGAUUAGCUAGUUGGUGGGGUAAAGGCUCACCAAGGCGACGAUCCCUAGCUGGUCUGAGAGGAUGAUCAGCCACACUGGAACUGAGACACGGUCCAGACUCCUACGGGAGGCAGCAGUGGGGAAUAUUGCACAAUGGGGGAAACCCUGAUGCAGCCAUGCCGCGUGUAUGAAGAAGGCCUUCGGGUUGUAAAGUACUUUCAGCAGUGAGGAAGGUGGUAGUGUUAAUAGCACUAUCAUUUGACGUUAGCUGCAGAAGAAGCACCGGCUAACUCCGUGCCAGCAGCCGCGGUAAUACGGAGGGUGCGAGCGUUAAUCGGAAUUACUGGGCGUAAAGCGCAUGCAGGCGGUCUGUUAAGCAAGAUGUGAAAGCCCGG